GAAACAGAGGCUCAGAGAAAAGCAGCACGGUUCUCACAACUCCACAGUUUUGGUUCUGGCCCUGACCUGGGCACGGCUGUUGAUCACUAAUCUGUUUGGGGCAACUGUCCCCUUUCCCUUCCUUGGUCACUGGUUCUUCUGCUAAAGAUCCAAGAUCCCAGCUGCUUCUCAAAGCAAGGACACUUCUGAAAAACAUACCCUGAGUUUGAAUAGCCACACCUUGCUUGAGAAAGAAAGGCCAGAGUUACCCUGCUAAGAUGGGGAAACUCGGCUCGCGGAGAUGACGUGUGUGCCCCAGAGCACCCAGUGGGAGAGGCCAUGUGAGGACGCAGUGCGGAGGACGUCCCCUGCACGCCAGGAGGAGUCCUCACCAGAAGUCAAGCCCUGCUGGACUGGAACGUUGUCCUUCUCAGCCUCCAGAACUGGGAGAUAAUACAUUUCUG
This is a long non-coding RNA of Nycticebus coucang (slow loris), 443 nucleotides long. RefSeq lists it as uncharacterized. NCBI's taxonomy places the organism in Eukaryota, Metazoa, Chordata, Mammalia, Primates, Lorisidae. The record is from RefSeq and is a predicted model, not a curated record. The transcript has 3 exons.